Molecule: long non-coding RNA, 3656 nt
Filed under: Sus scrofa (pig)
Lineage: Eukaryota; Metazoa; Chordata; Mammalia; Artiodactyla; Suidae
Description: lncRNA (ENSSSCG00060077918.1)
Source: RNAcentral
UUUUUUUUUUUUUUUUUGUCUUUUUGCCAUUUCUAGGGCUGCUCCUGCGGCAUAUAGAGGUUCCCAGGCUAGGGGUCUAAUCGGAGCUGUAGCUGCCAGCCUACACCAGAGCCAAAGCAACACGGUAUCCGAGCGGCAUCUGCAACCUACACCACUGCUCACGGCAAUGCUGGAUCCUUAAUCUACUGAGCAAGGCCAAGGAUUGAACCUGCAACCUCAUGGUUCCUAGUCGGAUUCGUUAACCACUGAGCCACGCUCACCUGUUGGUUGAAAGAGCUACAAGGUCUCAUUGCCAAGGUCUUGGAUAUAGGCAGUGGUGGGAAACUGGAGCCAUUCUGACAAUCUGUCUACCCAGGUCUUCCUUUAAGAGAGGCUAUGAAGGUCUUCUGAGAUGCUCACUUAGGCAACCAACCAAUUUGCUGCAGAUUGAGCAGAGGUCCUGCAGCCUGCACCUCGCGACUCCACGUUCUGUGGCCGUGCACUUUUGCAGCCAACUUCUCAGGAAAGACUGCAGCACAGUGAACCCAAGGUGGCGUUCCCGGGCUAGUCUCAGAAAAUAGAAAUAAGAUGCGGGGGGCCUCAGGUCUCCAAUAAGAUUACCUCCUGGUCUUCAUAUAAGGGUGUUCGCUUAUCUAGAAUGAGUCGCUAGAGAACCUGUUUGGGCGUCUGACAGCUCAGAGCAGCUGCAGCUGAUGUCCCAGUUUGCUUUGCUCUGGGCAGGGAGAUGUGCUUUAGAGACAGGACUCCACGAGUGUGGUUGUGAAGAGGCAGCAGGGUGAUGAGCAUGGCCACACCCACUUGGAGGCUGGUUGCUGUGAUGGUGGCUGGGACAGGGCCAUGCAGGAUCUCAGGUUCUUGUCUUUUAUUUAUUUAUUUUUUGUCUUUUUAUGGCCAAACCCAUGGCAUAUAGAGGUUCCUAGGUUAGGGGUCAAAUCGGAGCUGUAGCCGCCGGCCUCCACCACAGCUACAGCAACUUGGAAUCCGAGCUGUGUCUGUGACCUACACCACAGCUCAUGGCAACACCGAUCCUUAACCCACUGAGCAAGGCCGAGGAUCGAACCUGCAACCUCAUGGUUCUUAGUCGGAGUCGUUAACCACUGAGCCACGACGGGAACUCCGGGAUCUCAGGUUCGAAAAGAAAAGUGCAAAGGAUGCCCGCCUGCCUUCACCCUCACCCCAGUCUCAUUAACUGCUUUCCAUCCAAGUGCUCGGCACCUGCGAGACGCUUCCCCUUGUCUGACUUCCUGCCCAGCGAGGAGCUCCCUAAGGGCAGGGGCUGCCAUUAUGUUCAUCUUUGGACCUUACCGUGCAUCGCAGAGUAGAUGCUGAAUAAAUGAAAGAGAACGACUCCAAGUAAUGGUCUCCCAGAGGCAUUAGGACGGUGGGAAGGCCAGAAAAUGAGCAGUGGCUCAAGAGGAAGUCGGGUCUCCGUUGGCAGGACGUUCUGGUCAAGCAGGACUCACCUGCUCCCAAGUCUCCAUAAAGCCACCUGGCCAUGUGCUCCGGACAGCGUGCCUCCCACCUGAAGGCUUGCGAAAGGCCCAGCCCUCCGGGGCCUCCCCGAGGGGAAGCCACGUGCGGAAGCGGACAGACGGCUCCGAUUUCCCUGUGUCUCUUCCAGGCUCCCCUCAGCCACAAGGUCUUGUCCUCUCCCUUCGAGGAGGUGCAGGUCAGCUGCGGGAACUGGGAUCACAGCUCACCCCCCCACCUUGGACCCCGUCAGGAAGGCUGGGCCCCUUUGGAAAUGACCUUCUUCCCCCCACCCCCUCUCUGCCUCUGAACCCGUCACAUCCUAUUUGCAGCCCUGGCGGUUAAGGAUGGAAAUUUGACUUUUUAAUUUUAUUAUUCUUGUUCUUCCUUCCUGCUUCAUUAGAAUCAUGUCGUUGGCCUCAAAUACUGGAUGUAAACCACGCUCGGAGGCCCAUCUGGAAGCCUGGAUCCUCUGGGGAUAUAAUUAUGCUAAGCGACACUUAGCAGGGAGAGUGCGAUUUUGUUUACCUGGGUGUCUCCGCUGGCAGCACAUCCCUCGGUUCUCCCCGAGGAGGAGGACUGGCUGCUGCCGUCCCUUUAGGCUUCUCCUUCUUGGGUUGUGUGCAGAUGGCCCACUUUCAUGUUGCCUGAGCUGUUGUGAUAAUUUAUCGCAUCUUUGUGUGGCUGUGGCGGGGAGGCUACGCAUGCCUUUGGAAUAGUAAAAGGUUACCCGUGACCAAAGAGAAAAAGCAGCCAGCUUGACCCACUUUUUUUUUUCUUUUUGUCUUUUUAGGGCUGCCCUCACUGCAUACGGAAGUUCCCAGGCUAGGGGUCGAAUCAGAGCUGCAGCUGCCAACCUCCACCAUAGCCACAGUGACACUGGACCCAAGCCACAUCUGUGACCUACACUGCAGUUCUAGGCAACGCCAGAUCCAUAACCUACUGAGCGGGCCUAGGGAUUGAACCUGCAUCCUCAUGGAUACUAGCUGGGUUCUUAACCCACUGAGCCACAGUGGGAACUCUAGCUUGGCCCAUGACCCACGUUUGCUUUCACAAUGGGACCGGGGAAGGAGCCACGCCUGGGGCGAGGGCUUUGGGCUCUUGGUUCCGCAGGGCUCCUAGCAUCAUGCCAGGACUCUGACUGCACUCAGGCUGUGGCCCAUUCUGCUUAAAGCGUCUUAAUUCUGGGGAGCCUCGCUUUUCUCUUCUGUGGAAGGAAACCAAGAGCCCUCGCCCUGCUUAGCUCCCAAAUGCUUGGGAGAAAUCACUGAGUGAGUGAAGGUGAAAGCAUUUUGUGUUCAUUCAAACCCUUGCCGGAGGCCCCCUCCGUGCAUGGAUUAACAGGGUUCUUAUUCUUGCGGGGACUGCGACCUCGCAAACCGUAAAUUAUGAAGCACUCAACAAAUGCAAGGCAGUAAAGUGUGUAUGUUUGAAUUUGCUUGGCAUCUGCUGGAUUGGGAAAAUUCUCGCCAAGCGGAGAAUGCCCAGGUAUACCCUCCUGGCUGUACAGCCUCCAACUCCCCUUAUCCGUGUUCCCGAUCGUGUUACUGCUCCCCCGCCCCCCUCCCCAAAUCCUGCACCCUCCCACCCUGAUCCCCAGUCCCCCUCACCUUCUGUGCUCUCCUCUGCAUCCUCCCUUCAGCCCCGUCAACACUGCCUUUAUCACAUAGCAUUAUAAUAACCUUCUGAAAAACAGUAUUAUUUAUUACAGCAAAGCACACAUACAGAAAAAAAAAUAGAGAAACCGUAGGUCUGUAGCUUCAUGCAUUUUCACAAGAGGAGGUAGACACAUGAACCACCCAGAUCAAGGAAUCCAGUGGCACCAGCAUCUCAGGAGCCCCCACCCACCCACCGCUGCCAUCCAUUUCCUCCCUUCUCCCAAAAAGUCACCCCUCUCCUAAUUUCUACCACCACGGAGUUCUUUUUAGAUUUCUUUAAGCUUUUUCUAUCUGGAAUUGUCUGCUCUGCAGCUCUGUGUUCUUUUGUGUUUGACCCUGGUUGCUCAUCCUUGUUUGUGAGAAGGGUCCCUGUUGCUGCACAUAACUGCACUUCGUUGGCAUUCCCAUAUAGUGUUCUGUUACCUGGAUGUGUCGGCAUGAAUUUGAUCUCGUGUUGCUGGGCACUUAUACUGUUUCCAGUUUGAGGCUCUUAUGCUUAAAGCUGCUGUAAACAUUCUGGUCCAUAUC